GCCGACCGGUCUGCCGAUGGGUACGCACUGGUCGGCGCGUCCUUCCUUCCGGAGACCGUCCCUACUCUUAACUGAGCGGGGGCGGGAGACGGAACGUUUACUUUGAAAAAAUCAGAGUGUUUCAAGCAGGCAGUGCGCUCUUGCAUGGAUUAGCAUGGGAUAAUGAAAUAGGACUUUGGUGCUAUUUUGUUGGUUUCGAACACCGAAGUAAUGAUUAAAAGGGACAGUCAGGGGCACUCGUAUUCCGCCGAGAGAGGUGAAAUUCUCAGACCAGCGGAAGACGAACCACUGCGAAAGCAUUUGCCAGGGAUGUUUUCACUGAUCAAGAACGAAAGUUAGGGGAUCGAAGACGAUCAGAUACCGUCGUAGUCUUAACCAUAAACCAUACCGACUAGGGAUUGGAAGAUGUUCACAUAUCGACUCUUUCAGCACCUUACGGGAAACUAAAGUCUUUGGGUUCCGGGGGGAGUAUGGUCGCAAGGCUGAAACUUAAAGGAAUUGACGGAAGGGCACCACCGGGUGUGGAGCCUGCGGCUUAAUUUGACUCAACACGGGGAAACUUACCAGGUCCAGACAUUGUGAGGAUUGACAGAUUGAGAGCUCUUUCUUGAUUCGAUGGGUGGUGGUGCAUGGCCGUUCUUAGUUGGUGGAGUGAUUUGUCUGGUUAAUUCCGUUAACGAACGAGGCCUUAGCCUGCUANAUAGUGACGCGAACACUUCGUUCGCGGGCCACUUCUUAGAGGGACAACUUGUCUUCAACAAGUGGAAGUUUGAGGCAAUAACAGGUCUGUGAUGCCCUUAGAUGUUCUGGGCCGCA
This 816-nucleotide ribosomal RNA is filed under the name uncultured eukaryote. RNAcentral describes it as "SSU rRNA". It matches the Rfam family "Eukaryotic small subunit ribosomal RNA", at positions 652 to 1491 of the family's 1831-position model. The record is from RNAcentral.